Molecule: non-coding RNA, 65 nt
Organism: Mus musculus (house mouse)
Lineage: Eukaryota; Metazoa; Chordata; Mammalia; Rodentia; Muridae
Source: Rfam
GUGUGCGAAUGAUAACUACUGACGAAAGAGCUGUCUGCUCAGUCUGUGGUUGGAUGUAGUCACAC